UUAAGCGACUAAGCGUACACGGUGGAUGCCCUGGCAGUCAGAGGCGAUGAAGGACGUGCUAAUCUGCGAUAAGCGUCGGUGAGGUGAUAUGAACCGUUAUAACCGGCGAUUUCCGAAUGGGGAAACCCAGUGUGUUUCGACACACUAUCAUUAACUGAAUCCAUAGGUUAAUGAGGCGAACCGGGGGAACUGAAACAUCUAAGUACCCCGAGGAAAAGAAAUCAACCGAGAUUCCCCCAGUAGCGGCGAGCGAACGGGGAGGAGCCCAGAGCCUGAAUCAGUGUGUGUGUUAGUGGAAGCGUCUGGAAAGGCGUGCGAUACAGGGUGACAGCCCCGUACACAAAAAUGCACAUAUUGUGAGCUCGAUGAGUAGGGCGGGACACGUGGUAUCCUGUCUGAAUAUGGGGGGACCAUCCUCCAAGGCUAAAUACUCCUGACUGACCGAUAGUGAACCAGUACCGUGAGGGAAAGGCGAAAAGAACCCCGGCGAGGGGAGUGAAAAAGAACCUGAAACCGUGUACGUACAAGCAGUGGGAGCCUCUUAAUGGGGUGACUGCGUACCUUUUGUAUAAUGGGUCAGCGACUUAUAUUCUGUAGCAAGGUUAACCGAAUAGGGGAGCCGAAGGGAAACCGAGUCUUAACUGGGCGUUAAGUUGCAGGGUAUAGACCCGAAACCCGGUGAUCUAGCCAUGGGCAGGUUGAAGGUUGGGUAACACUAACUGGAGGACCGAACCGACUAAUGUUGAAAAAUUAGCGGAUGACUUGUGGCUGGGGGUGAAAGGCCAAUCAAACCGGGAGAUAGCUGGUUCUCCCCGAAAGCUAUUUAGGUAGCGCCUCGUGAAUUCAUCUCCGGGGGUAGAGCACUGUUUCGGCAAGGGGGUCAUCCCGACUUACCAACCCGAUGCAAACUGCGAAUACCGGAGAAUGUUAUCACGGGAGACACACGGCGGGUGCUAACGUCCGUCGUGAAGAGGGAAACAACCCAGACCGCCAGCUAAGGUCCCAAAGUCAUGGUUAAGUGGGAAACGAUGUGGGAAGGCCCAGACAGCCAGGAUGUUGGCUUAGAAGCAGCCAUCAUUUAAAGAAAGCGUAAUAGCUCACUGGUCGAGUCGGCCUGCGCGGAAGAUGUAACGGGGCUAAACCAUGCACCGAAGCUGCGGCAGCGACACUAUGUGUUGUUGGGUAGGGGAGCGUUCUGUAAGCCUGUGAAGGUGGCCUGUGAGGGUUGCUGGAGGUAUCAGAAGUGCGAAUGCUGACAUAAGUAACGAUAAAGCGGGUGAAAAGCCCGCUCGCCGGAAGACCAAGGGUUCCUGUCCAACGUUAAUCGGGGCAGGGUGAGUCGACCCCUAAGGCGAGGCCGAAAGGCGUAGUCGAUGGGAAACAGGUUAAUAUUCCUGUACUUGGUGUUACUGCGAAGGGGGGACGGAGAAGGCUAUGUUGGCCGGGCGACGGUUGUCCCGGUUUAAGCGUGUAGGCUGGUUUUCCAGGCAAAUCCGGAAAACCAAGGCUGAGGCGUGAUGACGAGGCACUACGGUGCUGAAGCGACAAAUGCCCUGCUUCCAGGAAAAGCCUCUAAGCAUCAGGUAACAUCAAAUCGUACCCCAAACCGACACAGGUGGUCAGGUAGAGAAUACCAAGGCGCUUGAGAGAACUCGGGUGAAGGAACUAGGCAAAAUGGUGCCGUAACUUCGGGAGAAGGCACGCUGAUAUGUAGGUGAAGCGACUUGCUCGUGGAGCUGAAAUCAGUCGAAGAUACCAGCUGGCUGCAACUGUUUAUUAAAAACACAGCACUGUGCAAACACGAAAGUGGACGUAUACGGUGUGACGCCUGCCCGGUGCCGGAAGGUUAAUUGAUGGGGUUAGCGGCAACGCGAAGCUCUUGAUCGAAGCCCCGGUAAACGGCGGCCGUAACUAUAACGGUCCUAAGGUAGCGAAAUUCCUUGUCGGGUAAGUUCCGACCUGCACGAAUGGCGUAAUGAUGGCCAGGCUGUCUCCACCCGAGACUCAGUGAAAUUGAACUCGCUGUGAAGAUGCAGUGUACCCGCGGCAAGACGGAAAGACCCCGUGAACCUUUACUAUAGCUUGACACUGAACAUUGAGCCUUGAUGUGUAGGAUAGGUGGGAGGCUUUGAAGUGUGGACGCCAGUCUGCAUGGAGCCGACCUUGAAAUACCACCCUUUAAUGUUUGAUGUUCUAACGUGGGCCCCUAAUCGGGGUUGCGGACAGUGUCUGGUGGGUAGUUUGACUGGGGCGGUCUCCUCCUAAAGAGUAACGGAGGAGCACGAAGGUUGGCUAAUCCUGGUCGGACAUCAGGAGGUUAGUGCAAUGGCAUAAGCCAGCUUGACUGCGAGCGUGACGGCGCGAGCAGGUGCGAAAGCAGGUCAUAGUGAUCCGGUGGUUCUGAAUGGAAGGGCCAUCGCUCAACGGAUAAAAGGUACUCCGGGGAUAACAGGCUGAUACCGCCCAAGAGUUCAUAUCGACGGCGGUGUUUGGCACCUCGAUGUCGGCUCAUCACAUCCUGGGGCUGAAGUAGGUCCCAAGGGUAUGGCUGUUCGCCAUUUAAAGUGGUACGCGAGCUGGGUUUAGAACGUCGUGAGACAGUUCGGUCCCUAUCUGCCGUGGGCGCUGGAGAACUGAGGGGGGCUGCUCCUAGUACGAGAGGACCGGAGUGGACGCAUCACUGGUGUUCGGGUUGUCAUGCCAAUGGCACUGCCCGGUAGCUAAAUGCGGAAGAGAUAAGUGCUGAAAGCAUCUAAGCACGAAACUUGCCCCGAGAUGAGUUCUCCCUGACUCCUUGAGAGUCCUGAAGGAACGUUGAAGACGACGACGUUGAUAGGCCGGGUGUGUAAGCGCAGCGAUGCGUUGAGCUAACCGGUACUAAUGAACCGUGAGGCUUAACCUU
Molecule: ribosomal RNA, 2902 nt
Filed under: Escherichia coli UMEA 3185-1
Lineage: Bacteria; Pseudomonadati; Pseudomonadota; Gammaproteobacteria; Enterobacterales; Enterobacteriaceae
Description: bacterial LSU rRNA
Rfam family: Bacterial large subunit ribosomal RNA
Source: RNAcentral